UUUUCUUUUUUCUUAGAUUUUACAGGUUUACCUGUGACUCUUUUGUUAGAAAAAUAAAAUAGUGUUUAGCAGUUGAGAACUUCAUGUGGUGACUACUCAAAACCUGUGUGUGAUUGCAAAAUUUUGUUUGCUUUUUAAGAAUAUUAGCUACCUCUUCAUUUCUCGAAAUGGUUAUUUCAUCAUUUUGAUUUUCACAGAAUCUGAAGAAGACAUGGCCCAGACUGAGACAAAUGAGGCAGAUGAUAAAGCACCAAGUCCUGAGCAGCUAAAUGAUAAGAUAGCUGAAGAAGUUGAAAAAGAAGAAGCAGAAGACAUUUCAACAACUGAAGAGUCUAUCUCAGAAUCUAUUUCACCUGAACAAAGUGAAGAAUCUUUAGGGAAAGCAGAAUAAAGUACUUCAAGUGCCUUCUGUAGCUAGUUUUUAGCUUUGUCAUGCCUGUUGUUACUAUUCAGAGAUGCUGGAUUUGUAGAAAACUCAAGCAACAAAGACCUUCCAGCUCUCCCGAAAUGGUCUGCUCUCUAAUUCCUUGCAUCGCUUCAAAGAGUUCUACUCAGUUGACGAAACUUAAUUUUAACUUGUUCAGCACACAAAGAAAAACAUUUUACAAAAACACCAAGAAAAUUCAUUUUAAGAAAACUGUUAUAAAUGAUGUUUUAGAGGAAAUGUGAAAGUUGGUAUUUCUUAAAGAAUGUUUGUAUUUUUUGUAUAUUGAACUUUUAUUUAAACAGAAGAUCCUGUAUAUCCUGUAGAUCCUGUAUAUUUAUAGUUCUUGCUGUUGUAGUAGCCUUGUUGUCGCAUUAGUAAAAGGGUAUGUAUGUUUAUGUACUACAAAUAGUACCUUUAAGCAGAAGUAUAAUUUUAAUCCUAGCUGUGGCCUUGACCAGUAGUUAUAUCACCUGCAGUUGAAACUCCAUUAAAAUUGCUCCAUUAAAGUCACUGGCAAAGACAUUAAUUAGUAUGAAUUCUUAGGGUCUGAUAGACUUCAUGAAAUGUCUGUCUUAGCUUUUCUGCUUGUAAUUGAGAAAAUAUUUAAACUUGUGCUCUCCUUUUGAAAUUUAGUAUUUUACCAAAUGAAGCAAAUUUUAAAGAGUA
Molecule: long non-coding RNA, 1093 nt
Filed under: Strix occidentalis caurina (northern spotted owl)
Lineage: Eukaryota; Metazoa; Chordata; Aves; Strigiformes; Strigidae
Description: lncRNA (ENSSOCG00000012136.1)
Source: RNAcentral